AGAACUUAGCAGAGAUGCUUUGGUGCCUUCGGGAACUCUGAGACAGGUGCUGCAUGGCUGUCGUCAGCUCGUGUUGUGAAAUGUUGGUUAAGUCCCGCAACGAGCGCAACCCUUAUCCUUUGUUGCCAGCGGUUAGGCCGGGAACUCAAAGGAGACUGCCAGUGAUAAACUGGAGGAAGGUGGGGAUGACGUCAAGUCAUCAUGGCCCUUACGAGUAGGGCUACACACGUGCUACAAUGGCGCAUACAAAGAGAAGCGACCUCGCGAGAGCAAGCGGACCUCAUAAAGUGCGUCGUAGUCCGGAUUGGAGUCUGCAACUCGACUCCAUGAAGUCGGAAUCGCUAGUAAUCGUGGAUCAGAAUGCCACGGUGAAUACGUUCCCGGGCCUUGUACACACCGCCCGUCACACCAUGGGAGUGGGUUGCAAAAGAAGUAGGUAGCUUAACCUUCGGGAGGGCGCUUACCACUUUGUGAUUCAUGACUGGGGUGAAGUCGUAACAAGGUAAGCGUAGUGCU
Molecule: ribosomal RNA, 516 nt
Filed under: uncultured bacterium
Lineage: Bacteria
Description: bacterial SSU rRNA
Rfam family: Bacterial small subunit ribosomal RNA
Source: RNAcentral